Aedes albopictus (Asian tiger mosquito) is the source of this 9443-nucleotide long non-coding RNA. RefSeq lists it as uncharacterized. The record is from RefSeq and is a predicted model, not a curated record. The transcript is spliced from 2 exons. Lineage: Eukaryota; Metazoa; Arthropoda; Insecta; Diptera; Culicidae.
ACAGCGCCCCACUUCCGACAUUGUGUUUAACGCAAGGCAAAAGCAGCGGAAGUCGAAGAAAAAAUGUCGCUAAUUCGGUUUUGAAAUGGAAACAUAAUACACGACGCGACCGCUCCCGUGUUAAUUAUAAAAUUGAUGUGAGCAAUUGUAAAAUCUAACCACUUCCAUGCACAUAAAGACAUUUGGUCAUUGAAUACUUUACGGAUCAGGAUUGUUCAGAUUUUGUUACUUUCCUGAGACGAGACUUCCAAUCUAAUCAAGAUUGACAGAUCGAGUGUUCAGCAUACGUCUGACUACUUGGAUCAGCGAAAAAUGUUUGAGCAAAUGGGAGCCACGGGAACAACUCACAGAUGCACCAGCGGCGUCAUGGUCGCGAUUUUUUCCGCAGUCAAGUUCGCAGAUUGUGAACAAUCCUUGGUACCCAAUUGCGUAAUCAGGGCUGGUAGCAGGAACUGAUGGUCAAAAUAGUUAUUUUAGUGACCAAUAUCUCUAAAAUAGUGACCAAAUAGUGACUUUCAGAAUGCAAAAAAAGUGGCUAAAUAGUGACUUUUGGCACAAACAUAUGCUUAGUGAGGAAACAUUGUAGAACGAAUUUGAUUCAGAAAACCCUGGAGUACCGCAUAAUGAAAAUGUUCAAGAAAGUCUUUCAUCUUCCAUUCCUGAAAUUGUACAAAGCUGCAUGUAUUUACAAUUUUAUAGAAUACAUUGUGCAGGACUAGAUGAGCAUGGCAUGAAAAUUCUGUCAAGAAAAAAUAAAUAAAUUAUGAAACUCUUGGAAAACUUGUUGGAUGUUUUCUGUCAUGAAUUUCACCUUGAUGGAAACUUAGACAAAUGCUUAAAAAUGUGCGAAUGAAUUUGAAUAGGAAUUUUUCAAAUAUGAUUUCUUGAAUAUGUUUGCAAAAAUUCUCUCAAAAUAAAAUAAAAUGAAUAACAGAAAGUAAUUAAGUAAUUUUGAUGUAAUACUUGAAAUAUUUCAGAAGAAUUACAAGAAGAAAACAACGGUUUUUUAAUAGCCUAUGAAAAUGUAAUAGAACUCUUAAUUUUUUUCAAAAUGUCCCAUAUUUAGUAAUUUAUUUGAAUUGUCUCAUAGUUUCUGGUUAAAUUUUCAUAAUAUGUAGUAACAAGCAUUCUGGGAGAAGUUGUUAAUUUUAUUUGGGGACUUAAAAUAAUGACCAAGCCACUAAAUAGCGACUUGCUAUUAGGCCUUCACUCUCACCGACGCAUCAUGGGGCGGCCCCAUACAAAAUAUGUUUGCGUUAGUUUAUAAAACUCUCCAAAUUUUAUGGAACUCAGUCUUCCAAUAUACAUAAAAGUUGUUUCGAUACACACGUACAGUGAUUGGAUUCCAUUGAUGUUGUUUUUUAAGGCAUAUGUUUUGAAGAUUUCUACAACAGUUUUACUACUUUUAGUUCUACAUAUGAUCUAGGUCGUCCCAAAACUCCAUGAAAUGUAGGUGCAAGAUCUACAAGCAAAACUAGUAUUAUACGAAUGACUAUUCUAUACGCUCCAGACCAAUGACACUUCUAACAAGUAAAUGGAGUAUUAUAUUGAACUGUAUACAUGGUACAGCCCGGAUAAAAACGAACAAUUAAGGCUAUGGGAAAACAAUUGAAAAACCACAGAUUCUUAUGUUAACAUUGCUUUCUAUUGUGAAUGUAUUGUACAGUAUUUUUAAAAUUUGAUUCUUUUUAAUGAUUACAAAAGAUUUACAUUAGAUUCCAUGGUUACAUACCCAAACAAUAGAUUAACAUUUGAAUUCUUUGUUACUGUUGGAUUCAGCGUUCAAACCAUUAGUUUACAAUAGAAUGUAUCAGUAACAUUGAAAUGUACUGUUUUUCAAUGGUCUGGACGUUUGAAAAAAAGGGUUUUUGCUUGGGUUUUUGAGUAAUUCCGAAACAGUGUGUAUCGAUGACAGCCAAGUUUUGUUGUAGUCAGCUCGGUCGUCAGCGGUAAAAAAUUCCGAAUAGCAGUUUUGUGUGCGGAAAAUGUGGAAAAUUCACGCUCAGCUGCGUGAAUUUUCCGCAUUUUCCUCACGGGAGAAAAUACAGUGUGUGGUGCAGUGCUGAAUCAUUCAACAGUUGCGGCAUUUCAACAGGUUUGUAUGUGUUUUGUUUGCGCUUUUGCGAGAGCCGAGAGGCGAGAAGUUGAGUUGGCAGGGCAGGGCUGGUAGCGAAUCACACUUUCCCAGAAAAAUUCCCAGGGUUGGUUCAACCUUUUUCAUAAUAUAAUAAAAUCAUCUAAUUAGUACUUUUUACCUAUAUUUAAGAUUUUUUUAAAGUUUUCUAAACUAACAUUUGAAAAGGGCUAAUUUUAUUGUACCAGUAUUAAAAAAAAUAUUUAAAAAAAUGGAAAUAUAGCAAGAAAAAGUUGCGAGCUUUAGAUAAAGGGAGCAUCAUGGUUUUCUAAUUUAAAGACCGCCCCAGAAAGUAUGUAUCAACGCACAGAGAAACUACUGGCAUUUAAAAAUUAUUGAUUAUUGACUUAAUAUACUUGCACAAACGUUCUGUAUACAGGACCUGCGGUGCGACAGCGCCUUCGAUUUUGUCAUUGACAGUACCUCGGACACUACUUUUAAGUUGGGUUUUGCCCCAAUCUGCAAACAUCUAACCAUCGAGGCAGCCCAUCUCAUGAGCCCCCAACGAACGAAUCGGCACUGUACAUAAAAUUCUAAGUUAUAUUUGAACCCACGUUUCGUUAUUAAUAACCCCUUCUCAUCUCUCAACAGUGACAAGGACGUCAAGCCGGUGCGCGGUGCAUAAGCAAUCAACCCAGAGCUUGUUGAAUGCCGAUCUAAGCAAGAUCUGCAUGAGGACCAACGGACUUAUUGUAAAAAUACUAAUUUUCCCUUCCUUUAAUUUGACUGCAAUCUUGACUGCAAUAGUUUCAUCAUCAAACUUUUUUUCGUGAAAUCAAAUGUGAAACAUAUUACUGUGUAGAACCGUAGAACCAUCUUUUGCAUUUGGUAGCUUUGCAAGGUUUUUAAAUAUAGGUUCGCUCUUUAAACUUGGAACACAUGCAUGCCUUUGAAUCAAAUUCUAUAUUGUAUGCUGUAUUCCACAAGCUGUAGUUCAUCAAAUGUCCAUAAAUGCUACAAUAAUGGUUAAGCACGCUGUAAUGUUACUUUUGUACCUCAUCACCCACUAAAUGCAACUACAUUAGUGGUCUAAUAACACUUAGCGCGCUUCGGCACGGUUCCAUCAUGCCGCUUAUAGUGUUGCCACAUAUAAUGCUUAGUUUGCUAAACCCAGUUAUCUGGCUGGUGGGACAUGGGAGCCCAAGCUUCAUCCAUUAAUGCAAUUAGACGUUUAUUGAACAAUAAAAUGAGCGAUUCGAAUAUUUGAAGAACUUUUCAAAGAACAUAGAAGCUUGUGUAAAGUCAACAUUUAACGAACUUAAUCUAUGCAAUAUCUUGCAUUUUAACGCUUCGAAUGAUGUUCAAGUAUAGGUUCAAGUUGUAGUAUAUCGAGUUUUUUUAGUGCUACAAUAAUGGUUAAGCACGCUGUAAUGUUACUUUUGUACCUCAUCACCCACUAAAUGCAACUACAUUAGUGGUCUAAUAACAUUUAGCGCGCUUAGGCACGGUUCCAUCAUGCCGCUUAUAGUGUUGCCACAUAUAAUGCCUUAGUCUGCUAAACCCAGUUAUCUGGCUGGUGGGGCAUGGGAGCCCAAGCUUCAAUCAUUAAUGCAAUUAAACAUUACUCGAUUUACGACAUGAUUGAUCCAAAUAUUAGAUAAUUGUUCGAUCUGUGUUCUUAAAAUGUAGCCCUGAAUGUAGCAUAAAAUAUACAAGCUUCUAGUCCAAAUGCAUAAAGAUAGUUCAGAUUCACUGUUUUUCAGAAUUUUCUCAAGCAAUCAGUAACAAAAGUAAAAAGCAGAAAUAGAUCAAAUCAUGCCAAAAUGUUCAUAAUCGCUUGUAAAAUAAAACUAUUCCAAAACAUUAGAAUUUUCUGUUUCACAAUAGAAAACAAUUCCCAAACCUUUGGAUAGGACAAAACAGUAUGUUCCGUAAUCACAAUUGAAAGCAAUUCCAGAACAAUAGAAUCUAAUGUGUAAUUAAGUCAGUGCUCAAAGAACAAUAUGAAAACAUAAGAAUCUUGUGUAUCACAAUAGAAAACAAUUCCCAAACCAUUGAAUGAAAUGUGGAAUCAGUAAUAAAAUUACUACUCAAAACAAUACGUUUACCGUGCAAUUCACUGUUUGAAACAAUUCGAAAACAUAAGAAUCUUCUGUAUCACACAAGGUAUCACAAUAGAAAACGAUACCCAAACCAUUGAAUUCAAUGUAAAUACAGUACAAACAGUAUGUUCUGUUUCACAAUAGAAAACAAUUCCAAAACAAUUGAAUCAAAUGUGGAACCAUAAAUAAAUUCACUACCCAAAACAAUACGUUUACCAUGCAAUUCACUUUUUGGAACAAUUCGAAAACAUAAGAAUCUUCUGUUUCACAAUAGAAAACCAUCCCCAAACCAUUGAAUCUAAUGUAAGAUCACAGUUCAAAAUAGACAGUUCUUGGCAUAUUUAACAGUUCAAAACAAUACAAAUACAUAAAAAUCUACGGUAUAUUUGAUUCCCCGUAUAUGCAUUAACAACAUUUCAUUUACAUUAGAAUCAUCUGUUUUGCGAAAAAACUUGUAUGGAAAAAAGUCCUUUUUUCUAUUGUUACGAUACUUAACAACCUAUACAAUUCAAUGUGAAAUGCUCAUUCACAUUUGAUUCUAUUGUUAGAAACAUUUGAUUCUAUUGUUUUUCUACUGUUAUUUUAACAUUGAAUUCUAUUGUGAGAGUAUGGUUUUCAAUGGUACUGUUACAUAAGAAUCCUAUGUUUUUCUAUUGUAUUUUUUAUCCGGGAGAUCUUACAAGAUCUCCAUGGAAUAAUAUAAGCGUUUGUGUCCAGUCCACAAAACAACCAGUGCUUGUGCAGGUCUGUGAAGGUCCGUAAUGUCCGUAAUGUAAUAAUGUCCGCGAAGGAAUUUAGAGGUCCACAAAGCGCUGUAAUGGUCUUUAAAUAUUAUUCAAGGCCGUGCAUGGUUCACUCUCAUUAUUUGAGGUGUUGUAAACAUUUAAGUAAAUAGGUUCCAAUUCGUAAAAACACGCUUCACUAAUAAAUCUAAUACCAGAUUUAGAUUCUGCAAUGAUUGAUCUACCGAGAAAAGCGAUCAUGACGACCAAAUGUUUCCUCAGAGGUAUUUAAUGGCUAAUAUGGUAAUUUUAUGUUGGAAUAUUUCAAUCAUCGCCGACAACUUGAUUGAAAUUGCAGGAUAGGAGCAAGUAGUAGCCAAUUUUCUUUCAAUGUCUCCCAUGGAUCCUAAAGAAAGACAUAAUAGUAGUUGCGAAGCGAUUUUUUUUUUGUAUGGAGCGGUUUGUAUAGGGAAAAUUUGACUUUUGUAAUGUGGCAUCAUUUGAUGGUUUAACAUUUUUUGAAUAUUUUUCAAUCCGUAUUUUAUCAAUUGGGUUUUUAAAUUAAGACAAAUGUAUUGAUUUUUCAAUUUUUUACGAAAGAGCACCUUUUUCUGUGCCACCAUGAUUUUUUUCAGAAUUUUAGAACUUUAUUUUGGUACCUAAAAUCGCUUUCGAAGAGAUUUUUCGAAAUCACCUUUUGACAGCUGGCCAACUGCUUGACAGCUCCGCCCAGUACAAAAUGCGACGAGGGGUGAUUCGACAAAUUGCUCCCAUACAAACUUCAAACUGAUUUUUAAAUAGGUUCCCGGGCACCAAAAUUCAUGAAAAUUUGGAUUUCGGCUCAGUUUUGCAUGCAGAUUUUGAAAAUAGAAUGAUCUCAAUACCGCUAAAGAAGCCAAUUCCCCAAAAAAGUUGAAAAAAGUGACUUUUUAGGUGAAAAUAGUGACUUUAGUGACCUGACCUUGAAAAAAGAGACUUUUUAGUGACCAACCCAAAAAAAGUGACUAAGUCACUAAAAAGUGACUUGCUACCAGCCCUGCGUAAUUUAUGUUUAAUUCUUUACUGUCCGAUUGCUAAAUACAGGGUGUUAGGUUCAUGAGUGCAAACUUUUUAAAGGGUGAUAGAGGACCAUAAAUGGUGAAAAAAAUUGUUCUACGCAUAUGGUCAAAUCUCAACCGUUACGUAGUUAUUGAACUCCCCAUGUUUUUGACUCUUAUUGCCUUAACUGGUUAUAACUUCAAAAUGGUCAAACUUAUUGCAGUUUUUUUAUUCUUAUACGAAAGAUUAUUGAACUUUCUAUCAAAUGGCAUCUUUGAAUCGAUUGGUUUAGUUAAAUAACUAAGUUUUCUAGAGCUAAAUAGCUAAAAAUAGUGUGUUUUUAUUUGUUUAUGUCAAUUAUCUUUGAAACAUGCAUAGUAAAUUAAAAUUCUUUCUUUGGCAAAGUUGUGGCCCCUGUUCCACUCUACAAUUUGUUCUUUGACGCCAAACUUCUAACUCUUAUCGUUUUCUUGCUAUUUUGAUUUAAAUGUGCGGCACAGUGCGCAAAAAAGUGCUCACCAUGACGAUUGCAAAUUUAUGAUCUGAAAUGCGACGUUUAAAUCGAAAUUGCAAGAAAACGAUAAGAGAUAAAAGUUUCAUGUCAAAGAACGAAUUGUAGAGUAGAAUAGGGGCCACAACUUUGCCAAAGAAAGAAUUUUAAAUUAUCACGCAUUUUUCAAAGAUAAUUGGCAAAAACAAAUUAAAACACACAACUUUUAGGCUAUUUUCUCUAGAAAAUUUAGUUAUUUAACUAAACCAAUCGGUUCAAAGAUGCCAUUUGAUAGAAAAUUCAAUAAUCUUUCGAAUAAGGGUAAAAAAUUUGCGAUAAGUUUGACCAUUUUAAAGUUAUAGCCAGUUAUGGCAAUAAGAGUCAAAAACAUUGGGAGUUCAAUAACUACGUAACGGUUGAGAUUUGACCAUAUGCGUAAAACAAUUUUUUUCACCAUUUAUGGUCCUCUAUCACCCUUUAAAAAGUUUGCACUCAGGAACCUAACACCCUGUAUAAUUGACACGGAAAAAAAAUACACGGUAAUGAAAAAUAUUGGGUACCGGACUGGACAUACAAAAUUUAAUGGUUUCCUAUGGUACAUCGAGGUCUUGAAAUUAGUCUAUGGUUGCACGAUCAACAAAAGCUUGCACUAAGCAAUGCUGUCUACCCAUGUUUAUGUUUUGCAGAUAAGCCGCUUCCAGAUUUUCCGUAAGAAAUAAUGUCUUCCAGAUUAUGUGUUUAUUUGUCACUAGUAUUAUUGUAACUUAUGAAGAAAUUAAAAGUGCUGAAGGUCAGCCUUACUGAUUACUGAAUGAAUUAGUAAGGUUAUAAGUAUAUAGGGUAAAAUAUUUGACAAGGACUCAAGAAAAACAUCUGUCUGACACUAAUGAAAAUUCGAUCAAGUAAACAAUAUGUUUGAGCAUUGAUAUAUCUUUUUUGUUCAAAUGUUUGACUUUGUGUGCUGACCAGGUACGUUUAAAUUUGGACCACUAUGAAGUAUCAUCAUUUAAUGAGCCAUUUUACGAAACGACAACAAUUUUGAUAUUGACAUUCACACACUCAGGAAAAUUGCCUCAUACUUAAUGGCAAAUAUCCAUGUGCCAAACCACAUCCAAAGUAUAUGCAAUAUGCAACCAAUACCCGAUUACACAGGCAAAUUAGCACAUGCAUAAUAUGUGUUCUAAAUUGUAUGAGUCGCUGCUGUAUGGUGCCUCAUCAAAAGUAUGAGUCGCACUAAUGGAAACCAUUUGUUUACCCCUAUUGCAAAAAUCCAUGUCCCGGACACAUAGAAGGAAUGACGAUUUUUUCCCAGUGCAUGUACGCCACUUCCUGUCAAAUGUUCAUUCAUAAAAUCGGCUCUUAAAAUGUACUUAAUAUGUCGCCCCCUUAAUGCUACAACUAGGUAACUGGUUUUACGAAAUUUCGAGAUAUUUGAUAGAAAUCCGAACAUACACAAUAAAAAAACAAAAGUUUAUCCAUUGGAACUAUGAAAAAACCAGCCCAGUGGCAGGCAUUGUUGUCAACAUCUCUUUUGUUAUAAUGGCCCCAAAAUGUGUUGAUCAAACGAAAUUGGGCCCCUGAUGUCUGAACUGUCACACCAUGUUAUUAAUAUAGGCGUGUCAAGAGCGUGGAAAAAACAAUGAUUCAUCUUUUAAGACCAACAAAAUGUUUGUUUUACACCAGGAUUAGUUUUACCAGCCAUUUUUUUCGCACUACCACAACGAGUUACCUAUUAGCAUUAAGGGGGCGAUGUGAUAUUGAUUGAUCUUCUUCUUCUUUUUGGCUCAACAUGCCCAAUGGGACUUGGCCAGCCUAACUUCAACUUAGUGUUCUUUGAGCACUUCCACAGUUAUUAAUUGAAGGGCUUUCUUUGCCUGCCAUUGCAUGAAUUUGUAUAUUGUGAGGCAAGUACAAUGAUACAUUAUGCCCAGGAAGUCGAGAAAAUUUUCCCGACCGAAUCGGAAAUCGAACCUGCCGUCUCCGGAUUAGCGAUCCAUAGCCUUAACCACUAGGCUAACUGGAGACCCGAUUAUCCAGAAUAUGCUCAUAUCAUUUGUUUCUUUGAACUAACAAAAAGUGUUUAACUACAGAUAUUACUAAAUAAGCGCUGUUUGCAGAUAAGAAGGAAUUUCUCAGCCUAUCUUGAUGCAUGGGAAAUUCCUUGCCUGAAUCGCUCAAGAAACCGGUUUUUCUUCGAUCGCAGUACGCAGUAGCGAAGAAAUGACAGUUUAAAUGGCAGUCACCGAAGAAAGUUUCUGUCAGGAAUCACUCAAGAAGUUUCUUGAGCGAUUCCUUUCGAACUCGAAACUGCGCUAUAAACACAAAUAUUUUGAGCCAUGUUUUCCAUAUUAAGGGCGAACGCGACGGUCGGGAAAAUAUCCGCCAUUGUUCUGUUGCAGCUAAGAUGGUAAUCUCCAAUUCUACUUCAUAUUAUGUAACAAAAACUUAUCAUUGUGUAUGCUUACUUUGUUUGAUUGUUUUCAGCCUCUUUUGUGCGAUAGAAAUCGAGAUUACCAUCUUCAAAAUCGCGAAGCAAAUUGUUAGAAAAAGGCGUCCCGUAUCACCUUAAUAGUAAUAAAUACUAAUGGGACACAUGUACCGAAACCCGCAAUCUGCCAACACUGCUGAUUUACUACCCGGUCACUCACUCUCACUUUUACGCUUACCCGGCCGACCGCAUCAUCAAUCAACCAUCUUGGGAACUCGCCGAAUCGAGUCGAGCUACAGCCGAUUCAUCACUUUUUACCCACGACGAAAACUAAUCACAUAUUUGCGACAUGUUCCUCAAACACAAAAUUACAGCUUCACUUGGGCCAUUGCAGCACAUGGGGUACCUUCAUAGUAAUUUGAUUGGUUUUCACAAGAAAGUAUAGUAGGAUCGCGAUAUACAAGGAACGCGAUUAUCACACAAAGCAUUGAGAAAAGAUUUUUGAUUAAUGUGCAUCACACGUCUUUGUGUGUCGAUUAGUUUUAGCGUACUAUUUUCGGCCACUCACGAUGAAACGGAACCCUUAUCA